CGGUGCCGUUGCCGAAGGGCGCGGUGCCGCCGUUGGGGUUGGUGGUGGUGCCGCCGGGUGCCUGACCGGGCGUCCCGCCCUGCCCGCCACCGG
This 93-nucleotide transfer RNA is filed under the name Phycicoccus sp. DTK01. RNAcentral's name for it is "tRNA-Pro". The record is from RNAcentral. Lineage: Bacteria; Bacillati; Actinomycetota; Actinomycetes; Micrococcales; Intrasporangiaceae.